This 461-nucleotide long non-coding RNA is filed under the name Setaria italica (foxtail millet). RNAcentral's name for it is "long non-coding RNA (SITA_LNC001976)". The record is from RNAcentral. Lineage: Eukaryota; Viridiplantae; Streptophyta; Magnoliopsida; Poales; Poaceae.
UAUUUUUUUAAUGACAUGUGUUGGUAAUUUAGAUCCACUACUUCUCAUUUGCAUAGUCACUAAGAGUCAGUUAGAACAACCAGGACUUACGUUCCAACUAGUGAUGGCCAGGCUUAACACCAAGUAAUGGCCGCAUGCAUUCCUGGUAACUUUGGGCUUCAUUGGCUGCAAAGGCCAGAUCGAAAUGGUGCGCAUUUGCGCUGAGAUGGCGUAGUAGCAAUGCAGAUAAGCCGAGGCAUCUCACGGUCACCUGUUUCCGGAAUAUAUCUUCACAGCACCGUUUCUGGUACUAGCGAACGGUGAGGAGCCAGAUCGCUGCUGCCGAUCCAGAUUUAGUUCUGCACAUGAGUGAGAUGGCAUUAGCUUAUGAUGAACCCGCGCCGUCCAUUCACAGGAUCCUCUGAAUUUUGGUACCUGACCGUGGAACCGGUCAAUGCAAUGAUACGAUCCAGAUAUUUUCC